This 118-nucleotide ribosomal RNA is filed under the name Aegilops tauschii subsp. strangulata. Lineage: Eukaryota; Viridiplantae; Streptophyta; Magnoliopsida; Poales; Poaceae. The record is from RNAcentral.
GAUGCGAUCAUACCAGCACUAAAGCACCGGAUCCCAUCAGAACUCCGAAGUUAAGCGUGCUUGGGCGAGAGUAGUACUAGGAUGGGUGACCUCCUGGGAAGUCCUCGUGUUGCAUUCC